Molecule: ribosomal RNA, 252 nt
Filed under: uncultured bacterium
Lineage: Bacteria
Description: partial 16S ribosomal RNA
Rfam family: Bacterial small subunit ribosomal RNA
Source: RNAcentral
UACGUAGGGUGCGAGCGUUGUCCGGAAUUAUUGGGCGUAAAGAGCUCGUAGGCGGUUUGUCGCGUCUGCUGUGAAAACGCGAGGCUCAACCCCGGGCCUGCAGCCGAUACGGGCAAGCUAGAAUUCGGUAGGGGAGACUGGAAUUCCUGGUGUAGCGGUGAAAUGCGCAGAUAUCAGGAGGAACACCGGUGGCGAAGGCGGGUCUCUGGGCCGAUAUUGACGCUGAGGAGCGAAAGCGUGGGAGCAAACAGG